This is a long non-coding RNA of Scylla paramamosain (green mud crab), 2593 nucleotides long. RefSeq lists it as uncharacterized. The transcript has 2 exons. Lineage: Eukaryota; Metazoa; Arthropoda; Malacostraca; Decapoda; Portunidae. The record is from RefSeq and is a predicted model, not a curated record.
CUCUCUCUCUCUCUCUCUCUCUCUCUCUCUCUCUCUCUCUCUCUCUCUCUCUCUCUCACCAUAAGGCGUCAAAACCUCUACUACAACACAAGACAUCACACCACACACUGUUGCUGUCUGCUAUCUUCGUCCGGCUAUUCCUGCCUCAGUUCCCUUCUAUGCAAGAUGUGAAGAAUAGUGGCCGUGGUACUUGUGUCCCGGAGGGCUGGCUGGCUGGCUGGCUCUCUCUCUCUCUCUCUCUCUCUCUCUCUCUACCAGGGACUCUUCACUCACUCUCACACUUCUGAGUUUACUCGACUAUUCUGCUUCUGGGCACUUUAUUUAUUUAUUUUUUUUCGUCUGUGUGUGUGUGUGUGUGUGUGUGUGUGUGUGUGUGUGUGUGUGUGUGUGUGUGUGUGUGUGUGUGUGUGUGUGUGUGUGUGUGUGUGUGUGUGUGUGUGUGUGUGUGUGUGUGUGUGUGAUGUCUACGUAGGUACGUACUUUUGAGGACAUCCUUGCCUCAAUUCUUCGUCUGUGUGAAAUCUUUUAUUCAUUGUCGAGGAGAGAGAGAGAGAGAGAGAGAGAGAGAGAGAGAGAGAGAGAGAGAGAGAGAGAGAGAGAGAGAGAGAGAGAGAGAGAGAGAGAGAGACGUCUACUUCGCUCUUAAAGGAACACGAGCGUAAAAUAUUUCACUAGCAGGUUCCAUUAUUUACUUCUGCUGCGCUAGACACUAAACACCACCCCACCUCUCCCUCCCCUCCCCUCCUCCUUGUUUUCCUCCUCAUCCUCUUACAGCUAUUACUACUACGACGUCCUCCUCCUCCUCUUCUUCCUCCUUCGUUUUUUUACCUCCUCCACCUUCUCUUGCUACUGGGAAAAGAUGGUAAUGGUUGAGGAGGAGGAGGAGGAGGAGGAGGAGGAGGAGGAGGAAAAUAUCCGCUUACCUGCCCUGGCAACUACGCCUGCAACUCAUUUGUGAAAGAUAUAGUACCUGUUAGAGUAAUGAGAGGAUUGCAAGGCUGGGUCGUUAUGGUCAUUAAUUAUAGGCAGUGUAAUAAGUCACGAACACACACACAUUCUCUCUCUCUCUCUCUCUCUCUCUCUCUCUCUCUCUCUCUCUCUCUCUCUCUCUCUGCUGGUCCAUCAUCUGCCCACCUGGUUUCUUAACAAUCAAUCAAUCAGUCAAGCUAUCUAUCUAUCAUUCAACUAUAUAACUUACUUAAUCUAUUCUAACUGAAGUGGAAGUUGACGAGGAAAAGUCUUCGCCUUUACUAUCCCACGUCAAUUAAGCAAUGUAGUUUUAUCACAAGUAAAUUCGUUAAGGGCCAACAUCUCUGGUGCUCUUUGUUCUUUGUUUGUGCUUCUAUCUAUAUAACCAUGCAUGUAUCUAUCUUACCUAUCUAUUCUGACACCUGUUCCCUAUUAAUUCCUCUUCUAUUAUUAACUGAGAGAGAAUUCAACACAAUUACUCCAGACUUUCCAUACACUCGACCCUCGCAACACACUGCAGUCCUCGCAUUCUCCCGCUUCUCUCCCUCUCUCUCAAGUGUUCCAACACUGUGUCCUCCCAUUUUUGAGAAGGGGACAGACAACUUCCUGUACAUCCUCGGUGUUAUGUAAGCUCCUCUCACUCUCUCUCAAGGUGACCAAUGCUUCUUUCCUAUUUAGAUACGAGUAGAAAGUAAGCACGAAGGGAGCUCUUUAAAUAUUGUUAUCAGUAAGUAAAGUGCAUAUAUGUACAUCAAUGGAAAUUCAAUAACACGUAAUAUGAAGGGCAAAAAAAGGAGAAAAGAAAAGAAAAAUCCGAAACGAAUGGCAGGAAGACCACUUUAAGCAAUGGUCAGGAUAAUACAUACCCUACCGGUGUGUGUGUGUGUGUGUGUGUGUGUGUGUGUGUGUGUGUGUUGGCCUUCUCUCCUCCCUCUCCCUCCCUCGGCACAAUGAGCAAUUGGCGUGGGAUAGAAGCAACAUCCCUCUCUAGUGACCCCAGUGUGCAGGAUGUGCCAAUGUUACUGUUAUUAUGAACUGUGUGCUGCGUUGGACUGACCUGCAGAUGAGCCGUAACUAGGUGGCUAAACAAGAACCGCCACUCUCGGCUUAAGUUCACCUCACGUCAGCUAAGAUAUAAACAGCCCUCUGAAACACAGAAGGAAUCUUGAGCACUGAAACUAUUUGUUACGUCAACCUCCUUAUGUUACGUUUGUGUCACUCCGUACCGGGUUAUGGCAAGGCUAUACACAUUCAAUGGAUUAUGUGAGUCCAUUACUUCAACCCGUAAUCAAAACACUGAUCUCUCACCGGAACUAUUUUCAAAGGCCAAAGAGGUAACGAGCAAGGUUCUCAAUACUGUUUCACCUGUUAAUAAGAUAAAAAUCUUGUUAAUAUGUCACUAGAACCGUAAUAACACCCUUAAAAACCUGUGUAACCUGAAGUAUUUAGUCGAGGUGGUGGCAGAAGUGUUUCAGAAUAUGGUCCUUCCUACUGGUGUGUUGCGCUAACUUAGGUUCAGUCGUGGCUCUCAGUUUGCCUUGGCCCCGAGCUUGUCUUUGUUCUCGAGUGGCAGCGGGGAUGCCUAAGCGAGGUGGAGGACGUCGAUACAAGACUAAGUAAGCAA